UAUAUGCCAUGAGUGAAUAUUAGAAAAUAUUCCUAUGGAUAAAAAGAUAUUGUCAAAAAUGUUAAAAGCUGGCGUUAUGAAUGAAGGCAGUUAUCAAGAUACUGAAGAAGGUAUUCCACAGGGUGGUGUAAUAUCUCCUAUUAUAGCUAAUUUAUGCCUUGAUGGUUUAGAUAAAACUAUAAAAAGGGCGUCUAAUAAUAAAGCAACUCUUGUGAGAUAUGCGGAUGAUUUCAUUAUAGUGUCCCAGAACUAUGAUAUUUUAGAUAAGUUAAUUCUAGAUGUUAACAAAUUUCUAAAAAUAAGAGGUUUAGAAUUAAAUAUGGAAAAAAGUAAAAUCACUAAAAUUGAAAAUGGAUUUGAUUUUGUAGGUUUCCACUUUAGGGAAUUCUCGGAUUCUACUCGAGAAAUCGGGGAAAAGAAAGGGAUUUUUCUAUACAAACCUACAAAAGAAAGCUUACAAAAAGUAAAAGCUAAAAUAAAACUUUGUGUCAAAGAACAUUCGCAACUUCCUCUGUGAAUGCUUUUCUCAAAACUAAAUCCAAUAUUAAGGGGCUGAGCAAAUUAUUACUCGUCUAGUACUGCAAAGUUAGCUUAUACCCGAAUAAGUAAAUACGUUUUUGAUUCCAUUCAUCGCAUGAUAAAAAUUAAGCAUCCAAAGCUUAAUGCUAAAGCGCUUAAAUCCAAAUUUUAUCACAAAGUGAAUAAUAGAGAUUGAUUAAUGUCUACUAGCACUGAAUUUAAAAGAUUUAAGAAAAUUAAUUUGUUUCAAAUAUCCGACACUCCUAUUAAAAGAACUACUAUGAUAAAACUUGACGCUAAUUCCUAUUUGGGUGAGUUUGAGGAGUAUUUUAAUAAAAGAUCUUUGAAUAUGUGUUUUAAUCAGCAAACGAAUAAUAUUCGAUUAAAGCUGGCAAAAAGACAAAAAGGUAUGUGCCCUAUAUGUAAAGAAUCUUUAAAUAGUCAAUAUGGAGAUAUAUUGUACGAAUUAGAAAUUCACCAUAUCAUACCUGUGGUGAGUGGAGGUAAAAAUAUAUUAAAAAAUAUGACUCUUCUUCAUAAAACGUGUCAUCGCGACAGAGCUGCGAAUGAGAUAAUUAUACUUAAGGAACUCGGCAAAUUUGCUCCGUACGUUCGCAACAAGGAGUACCUUAAAGGAUUCAAAAAUUAGGGGUAGCGACUGUUUAACAAAAACUCAAAACUUUGCAAAUUCGAAAGAAGACGUAUAAGGUUUGACGCCUGCCCAGUGCUUGAAAGCGAAAAAUACACGUUAACGCUUGUAUCAUAAACUCAAGUAAACGGCGGUCUUAACUAUAAGGAUCCUCAGGUAGCGAAAUUCCUUGGCGGGUAAAUUCCGUCCUGCAUGAAUGGCGUCACGACUACCCCACUGUCUCUAGUAUAAACUCAGCGAAAUUACAUUGUCUGUGAAAAUGCAGACAUCCUACAACAAGACGGAAAGACCCUAUGAUUCUUAACUAUAAUUUUACGUCGCAAUAAUUUUGUGUACAGUACAGUAAAAGUAGGAGUAUACUUAUACAAUUUUGAAAAACUACUCUGUACAUAAGAAAUUGCUUACUGAAGAGAAAAUAUGUAAAAGUGGUAGUUUACUUGGGACGAGGACCUCCUAAACUGUAACGGAGGUGCACAAAAGUAAAUUUUAAUUAGUUUUUUGUAUUAAUAAAAUAUGUAAUGGUAAAAAUUUGCUUGACGGUAAGAGUUACAACUCAAACCGGGACGAAAGUCGGUCAUAAUGAUCCGGCAGUAAUGUAUGGAAAUACUGUCGCUUAUCGGAAAAAAGAAACUCUAGGGAUAACAGAUUUAUCAUGGCUGAGAGUUCUUAUCGACGCCAUGGUUUGAUACCUCGAUGUCGGCUCAUCUUUUCCUGGAGCUGUAACAGGUUCCAAGGGUAUGGUUGUUCGCCAAAUAAUAAGAUACGUGAGCUGGGUUCAGAACGUCGUGAGACAGUUCGGUCCCUAUCUGUUGUGGGUAAGAAGGGAUGUACUUCUCGUAAAUAGCUAAUCUCCACUUUAGGGAUUAAACUAAUAUUACAGGUAGGAAGCUAGUUCAUACAGAUCUAGUGGGCCUAUGCAUUACUCCUAAUGCUGAUCAAUGAGCUGUGUUACAAGCAGUGAACCCUAUGCAACGUGAAAAUAGUCAUUCACGGAGUAUAAGCAGGGCAUAAAUUUAAGUGGAUGUUACUUAUAAACAUUUUAACUCGAAGAG
This 2220-nucleotide ribosomal RNA is filed under the name Pyropia haitanensis. Its description in RNAcentral is "bacterial LSU rRNA". The stretch from base 1016 to 2026 matches the Rfam family "Bacterial large subunit ribosomal RNA". The record is from RNAcentral. Lineage: Eukaryota; Rhodophyta; Bangiophyceae; Bangiales; Bangiaceae.